RNAcentral lists this ribosomal RNA (249 nucleotides) under uncultured bacterium. RNAcentral's name for it is "partial 16S ribosomal RNA". It matches the Rfam family "Bacterial small subunit ribosomal RNA", at positions 562 to 793 of the family's 1533-position model. The record is from RNAcentral.
AAAGCGCAUGCAGGCGGCCGUGUUAAGUCAGAUGUAGAAACGGCCCGGGGACCGUUAACCCGUACGGUAAUUGCUAUUUAGUAAACGUGGCGAGGCUAGAGUCUUGUAGAGGGGGGUAGGAAUUUCAGGUGUAGCGGUGAAAUGCGUAGAGAUCUGAAGGAAUAUCAGUGGCGAAGGCGGCCCCCUGGACAAAGACUGACGCUCAGAUGCGAAAGCGUGGGGAGCAAACAGGAUUAGAUACCCUGGUAG